Molecule: long non-coding RNA, 432 nt
Filed under: Capsicum annuum
Lineage: Eukaryota; Viridiplantae; Streptophyta; Magnoliopsida; Solanales; Solanaceae
Description: long non-coding RNA (CANN_LNC004405)
Source: RNAcentral
UUUUUUACUCAAAUUCUUAGGUUAAGGAAAAAUUAUUGAUUUUUGAAGUGGGUGUUCAGGUUAUUUUGUGGAUUUCAAGAAGAUGAAUCUUUUGAUGGAUUUAUCAACACCAAGUUUCUGAGUGUUUGAAAAAAAUUAUGUUUUCCCAAAAACCUAAUUUUAGAUUGUAUAGACGAAUAGGAAUAACUUGUUCUACUAGGAGAAGAAGAUCUGUCGUCACGGGAUUUAUCUUCAUGCAAUCGUCGAGACUGACGUGUACAAGUGGGAGCCAGAGGAUUUGCCUAGUAUGAAUUUAUAGAUUCUGUUAGGAGAUUUUGAUGAGUUUUUUAUAUAGUAAACUUGAUUUGAUCACCUGGUUGCUGGUUCUUUAUUUCUGAUGUUGUGAUUUAUCGUGUUGCGGUAUUGGUAUUUUCUGAAUUAUUUUAUUUGUUG